RNAcentral lists this ribosomal RNA (160 nucleotides) under Blastobotrys adeninivorans. Its description in RNAcentral is "5.8S ribosomal RNA". It matches the Rfam family "5.8S ribosomal RNA". Rfam says of the family: 5.8S ribosomal RNA (5.8S rRNA) is a component of the large subunit of the eukaryotic ribosome. Lineage: Eukaryota; Fungi; Ascomycota; Dipodascomycetes; Dipodascales; Trichomonascaceae. The record is from RNAcentral.
AAACUUUCAACAACGGAUCUCUUGGUUCUCGCAUCGAUGAAGAACGCAGCGAACUGCGAUAAGUAAUGUGAAUUGCAGAAUUUUGUGAAUCAUCGAAUCUUUGAACGCACAUUGCGCCUUUUGGUAUUCCAAAAGGCAUACCUGUUUGAGAGUCAUUUCU